CAAUAGCGUAUAUUUAAGUUGUUGCAGUUAAAAAGCUCGUAGUUGGAUUUCGGUUAAGAGCGACCGGUCCGCCGUUUGGUGUGCACUGGUUGGUUUUAACUUCCUGUAGAGGACGUGCUCUGGGUUUAACGACCUGGACUCGGAGUCUACGUGGUUACUUUGAAAAAAUUAGAGUGUUCAAAGCGGGCUUACGCUUGAAUAUUUCAGCAUGGAAUAACACUAUAGGACUCCUGUCCUAUUUCGUUGGUCUCGGGACGGGAGUAAUGAUUAAGAGGAACAGUUGGGGGCAUUCGUAUUUCAUUGUCAGAGGUGGAAUUCUUGGAUUUAUGAAAGACGAACUUCUGCGAAAGCAUUUGCCAAGGAUGUUUUCAUUAA
Molecule: ribosomal RNA, 375 nt
Filed under: uncultured eukaryote
Lineage: Eukaryota
Description: partial 18S ribosomal RNA
Rfam family: Eukaryotic small subunit ribosomal RNA
Source: RNAcentral